AUGAACGCUGGCGGCGUGCCUCAUCCAUGCAAGUCGCGCGAACAGACGAGGAGCUUGCUCCUCUGACGUUAGCGGCGGACGGGUGAGUAACACGUGGAUAACCUACCUAUAAGACUGGGAUAACUUCGGGAAACCGGAGCUAAUACCGGAUAAUAUAUUUAACCGCAUGGUUCAAUAGUGAAAGACGGUUUUGCUGUCACUUAUAGAUGGAUCCGCGCCGCAUUAGCUAGUUGGUAAGGUAACGGCUUACCAAGGCAACGAUGCGUAGCCGACCUGAGAGGGUGAUCGGCCACACUGGAACUGAGACACGGUCCAGACUCCUACGGGAGGCAGCAGUAGGGAAUCUUCCGCAAUGGGCGAAAGCCUGACGGAGCAACGCCGCGUGAGUGAUGAAGGUCUUCGGAUCGUAAAACUCUGUUAUUAGGGAAGAACAAAUGUGUAAGUAACUAUGCACGUCUUGACGGUACCUAAUCAGAAAGCCACGGCUAACUACGUG
This 496-nucleotide ribosomal RNA is filed under the name uncultured bacterium. RNAcentral describes it as "partial 16S ribosomal RNA". It matches the Rfam family "Bacterial small subunit ribosomal RNA", at positions 29 to 507 of the family's 1533-position model. The record is from RNAcentral.